GACGAACGCUGGCGGCGUGCUUAACACAUGCAAGUCGAACGGUGAUGCUCCAGCUUGCUGGAGUGGAUCAGUGGCGAACGGGUGAGUAACACGUGAGCAACCUGCCCCAGACUCUGGAAUAAGCGCUGGAAACGGCGUCUAAUACUGGAUACGAAACUGGCCCGCAUGGGCAUGGUUUGGAAAGUUUUUCGGUUUGGGAUGGGUUCGCGGCCUAUCAGCUUGUUGGUGAGGUAAUGGCUCACCAAGGCGACGACGGGUAGCCGGCCUGAGAGGGCGACCGGCCACACUGGGACUGAGACACGGCCCAGACUCCUACGGGAGGCAGCAGUGGGGAAUAUUGCACAAUGGGCGAAAGCCUGAUGCAGCGACGCCGCGUGAGGGAUGACGGCCUUCGGGUUGUAAACCUCUUUCAGCAGGGAAGAAGCGAAAGUGACGGUACCUGCAGAAGAAGCACCGGCUAACUACGUG
RNAcentral lists this ribosomal RNA (468 nucleotides) under uncultured bacterium. RNAcentral describes it as "partial 16S ribosomal RNA". It matches the Rfam family "Bacterial small subunit ribosomal RNA", at positions 28 to 507 of the family's 1533-position model. The record is from RNAcentral.